This is a long non-coding RNA of Oncorhynchus tshawytscha (Chinook salmon), 524 nucleotides long. RefSeq lists it as uncharacterized. The transcript has 3 exons. The record is from RefSeq and is a predicted model, not a curated record. NCBI's taxonomy places the organism in Eukaryota, Metazoa, Chordata, Actinopteri, Salmoniformes, Salmonidae.
CAAUCUACACACCGCAUUUUGGUCCGACUCUCCUUCACCACAAGAGAACCGUUACACCUCCAGAGUACCCACUCUAUCGCCUUCUGUAGGGACGGGAGCCGCAGCUGUUUACUGAGGAAAACAAUGCAAUUUUGUGUGAGCCUGAAUAUGGACAAGGUGCAGGAGAAACCGAAGGAAAACCACCAGAGGAAAAUCAAGAAGGGGACCAAGUGCUUCGACAUCCGGUCAAAUUACUUGGCUUGGAAGAAGGAUGAAAGGAAGGCGAGACCUUGCUGCUCUUUCGCUCCUAGCUGGGGUCACUAUCCGUUCAGGUGUAUAUAAACAAUCUUAGAUGAUAACUAUUCGCAUUUGCCUCGUUUGUGGGUGGCAUCGCCAUGUUGUCAGGAGUACCAACACUGGCCCAAGAGUUUCUCCAAAUAGUAAAUCUCAAAGCUAACCACUGGGUCACGUUAAGUAACCUCUGCUUCCAGGGACCAUCCCUCACCUCCCUCAUCAACCCUACUGACAAAGAAAAUACAGACAGG